UGCAUCUCUUGCUCAUAAUGUCAGGGGCUCCCUGCAGCCCUGCAACGAACCACUGGUGCCCCACUGUCAACAGGCACAGAGCCCUGUCCAGAAGGUCCUUCCUGCACUGGAGCUGGCCUGUCGUCUCCAGUUACCCCGUGGUUGGAUUAGCAUCCAGUCUCAGCUCUUCAGCACCAAGGGGAAGAGGUUUCCAUUGUUCCAUCUUGAAGAGCCGUAGCCCGUGUCCCGUGCCUGAUGGGCUGCUCCCUGUGCUGCCCACUGGGCAGAGCUCUGGUGGGGACGCCAAGAGCCAGGCAUCUUUGUUCUGUCCCGUGCCGAGCAUGUCCUGUUCCUUGCUGUGGAAUCCUGCAAUGGCUCCAGGCAGCAGGUGUGACAGGCGGGCCUGCAGCCAGGGACUGCGUGCCUGGAUACGCACCAGCAGUUCCGGGAAGCAGGGAGCUCUCCAGAACCUGGAUCAUCACCUCAUCCACGGAAGGAGAGUCACCCAAAGACACCGCCGGCCGGGUAUCUGCCCCAAUGUCCCCGAUGUGCGUUUGGUGAUGUUCCUGGAGUGCGGGGCGCGAGUCCACCUGAGCUCCUCUGGCCUUGGCCUUUUCCUGUUGAUGGGGAAAGAAAUGCUGGGCUUUGGGCAAAGCUGCCCUCACCCCUGACUCUAGGAGGACUUGUGACUCAGGCCUGGCCACUGAGAGGCAGCGAGAGCACCCACCCCGCGGCUUGGAGACGGUGCAGGAAGGGCCAGAG
Molecule: long non-coding RNA, 741 nt
Filed under: Equus asinus (donkey)
Lineage: Eukaryota; Metazoa; Chordata; Mammalia; Perissodactyla; Equidae
Description: lncRNA (ENSEASG00005036771.1)
Source: RNAcentral